RNAcentral lists this long non-coding RNA (2228 nucleotides) under Homo sapiens (human). RNAcentral's name for it is "HSALNT0226173". Lineage: Eukaryota; Metazoa; Chordata; Mammalia; Primates; Hominidae. The record is from RNAcentral.
GCGGCAGUGCAGCGGCCGCGAAGGGGUGUUUUGCUGUAUGUCAUAUUCCUCGUUUCGCCAGAGCGGGGGUCCCGAGCUUCGGGCGCGGGACGCGGGGGUGCUCCGAGGCUGCGAGUGGAGGCGUGACGUGACGUCCCUGGCAAGAGGCGCGCGGAGUCAGGCCUUACUUAGAACGUGUUCCCGCCGCACAGCUACCAGCGGGCGCGACCGCUACCCACGCAUGGUGCGGUCGAGUAAACGGCACCGCCUGGCGAGCGAGAGACGCAAAGGGACAUAGCCCCCUAGGAGCUGAGCUCUUCGGGGGUAAAGCGUUCUCACGUUGAUGAGACCAGGAGGCGGCGCACGCCUGGCUCCGCGGCCCAGGGGUUGCAGGUGCCCCAGGGUUCGCGGGGCGCAGACGCCGCAGAGGGCGACGCCCUGCCCGGGUCCCGCGCGGACCCGGGGGACGCAGGGUCUGACACGGAGUGCGGAGGGGCCCCAGACACGCAGUCCAUGUCCCUUGAAACCAGAGGCACGCGCGGCCACGCGCUAGGCCUUUCCCUUAAGCCUGUGACCAAGAUCUCCGGGACUCCCAGCGUUGGGACGGGCGCGCUGGCCCACGCCCAAGCGGGAGGAUCGCUUGCGCCCAGGAGAUUGAGACCAGCCUGAGCACCAAAGCGAGACCUCGUCUCUACAAAAAAUAAGACUCAAGAAGACACCCAGGGUGAAUCGCCCGUCUGCAGCCAGCCUCCCGAGCACCGUGGCCGCGUCUGACAACUGACCUCUGUGUCUGGGUGUCCCUGUCCUCAGAGGGACACGGGACCUCAGAAAGGACCACAGCCCGGCGGCAGGCAUGAUGGUGGGAAAGCUAGUUAGGACAGGUGAGGCACUAAAUUUAGCCUGUCAUAAUUUGUAUCAGGGAAAUGAUGAACUUGUAUUUUUACACACCAUGGGCACCAACACAAGAUAUGGUUUCGUAAGCAGCUUUGGCAAGAACCAAAGGAACGGAACCUCUGCUUCCAAGUGUACGGUCAGGAGCAGCGUGUUAAUUAAGUGAGUCAUCUUCCGUGGCAGAAUCCCAGGGUACAUGGGACCAGACUUCGCGAGGCUGGCAUUAGGAAAAGGAAUGUGAGGGAUCCUCCUCCCCAAACCGUAUUCUCAUUUUCUUCCCAAACCUGCAAGCAACCCAAGUACUCAUCAGCAGGUGAAUAAACAAACUGGCACAUCCACACUGCGGAACACGGCUCAACCCCCAGGAGGACCCGGCGCGGAGCCCGGCUCAACCCUGAAGAGGAUUUCACUACUGACACACACGACAUCACAGGUGACUCUGGGAGCAAUCAGGUUCAGUGAGAGAAGCCGGACAAAAAAGAGUGCGUACCUUAUGACUCCACUUACAUAAAAUCCUAGAAAAUACAAACACCAGGCAGGCGCGGUGGCUCACCGCUGUAAUCCCCGCACUUCGGGAGGCCGAGGCAGGCACAUCACUUGAAGUCAGGAAUAUGAGACCCGCCUGGCCAACAUGGCAAAACCCCAUCUCUACUAAAAAUACAAAAAUUACCCUGGCGUGGUGGCACACGCCUGUAGUCCCAGCUACUCGGGAGGCUGAGGCAACCUGGGAGGCAGAGAUUUCAGUGAGCUGAGAUCACACCACGGCACUCCAGCCUGGGUGACAGAGACUCCAUCUCAAAAAAUAAAAAUAAAAAACAUAAAUAGCAACAGAGAGCAAAUCAGCAGUCGCUUGGGAAAUAAGGGGUAGGGAUGGGUGAGAGGGAGGGAUUACCAGGUACACGUGCAGCCUGGAUAGUGCUGAGGGCUUCACGACGUAGACGCAUCAGCCUCAUCAAAUUACACACUCUACCUAUGUGCGGUUUGCCUUGUGUCAACUGUGUAUCCAUAAAGCUAUCAACAAAAACUGCCUGCAAACUAUUUUUAACUGACAACUUUUUUUUUUUUUUGGGAUGGAGUCUCGCUCUGUUGCCCAGGCUGGAGUGCACUGGCGCGAUCUUGGCUCACUGCAACCUACGCCUCCUGGGUUCAAGCGAUCCUCCUGCCUCAGCCUCCUGAGUAGCUGGGACUACAGGUGUCCACCACCACGCCCGACUAAUUUUUGUAUUGUUAGUAGAGAUGGAGUUUCACCAUGUUGGUCAGGCUGGUCGCGAACUCCUGACCUCAAGUGAUCCACCGCCUUGGCCUCCAAAAGUGCUGGAAUUAUAGGUAUGAGCCACUGCACCUGGCCAGACAACUGU